Molecule: unclassified non-coding RNA, 387 nt
Filed under: uncultured Ascomycota
Lineage: Eukaryota; Fungi; Ascomycota
Description: sequence contains ITS2
Rfam family: 5.8S ribosomal RNA (bases 1-154)
Source: RNAcentral
AACUUUCGACAACGGAUCUCUUGGUUCCGGCAUCGAUGAAGAACGCAGCGAAAUGCGAUAAGUAAUGUGUAUUGCAGAAUUCAGUGAAUCAUCGAAUCUUUGAACGCACAUUGCGCCCCCUGGCAUUCCGGGGGGCAUGCCUGUUCGAGCGUCAUAUCAACGUUCAAGCUCCGCUUGGUGUUGGGCGCCGCCGCCUGCUGCGCGGCGCGCCUGGAAUAGCAUUGGCUGCGGGUCCGGCCGCGAGCGCUGCGGGACGUGAGAAGCGUCGUGCGCUGGCGGGUUGGGCUAAGCGGGCCAGCAAACAACGAAGGGGUCCGCCCCUCUGCGUCUGACCUCGGAUCAGGUAGGGAUACCCGCUGAACUUAAGCAUAUCAAUAAGCGGAGGCU